RNAcentral lists this ribosomal RNA (483 nucleotides) under uncultured bacterium. Its description in RNAcentral is "partial 16S ribosomal RNA". It matches the Rfam family "Bacterial small subunit ribosomal RNA", at positions 30 to 507 of the family's 1533-position model. The record is from RNAcentral.
UUGAACGCUGGCGGAAUGCUUUACACAUGCACGUCGAGCGGCAGCACGGGGGCAACCCUGGUGGCGAGCGGCGAACGGGUGAGUAACACAUCGGAACAUGCCCAGUCGUGGGGGAUAACACUUCGAAAGAAGUGCUAAUACCGCAUACGUCCUGAGGGAGAAAGCGGGGGAUCGCAAGACCUCGCGCGAUUGGAGUGGCCGAUGUCAGAUUAGCUAGUUGGUGGGGUAAAGGCCUACCAAGGCAACGAUCUGUAGCUGGUCUGAGAGGAUGAUCAGCCACACUGGGACUGAGACACGGCCCAGACUCCUACGGGAGGCAGCAGUGGGGAAUUUUGGACAAUGGGGGCAACCCUGAUCCAGCCAUUCCGCGUGAGUGAAGAAGGCCUUCGGGUUGUAAAGCUCUUUCGGCAGGAACGAAACGGUGAGCUCUAACAUAGCUUGCUAAUGACGGUACCUGAAGAAGAAGCACCGGCUAACUACGUG